Molecule: ribosomal RNA, 437 nt
Filed under: uncultured Streptococcus sp.
Lineage: Bacteria; Bacillati; Bacillota; Bacilli; Lactobacillales; Streptococcaceae
Description: bacterial SSU rRNA
Rfam family: Bacterial small subunit ribosomal RNA
Source: RNAcentral
CGAAGCAACGCGAAACGUAACCCUUACCAGGUUCUUGACACUCCCGAUGCUUAUUUCUAGAGAUAGAAAGUUACUUCGGUACAUCGGUGACAGGUGGUGCAUGGUUGUCGUCAGCUCGUGUCGUGAGAUGUUGGGUUAAGUCCCGCAACGAGCGCAACCCCUAUUGUUAGUUGCCAUCAUUCAGUUGGGCACUCUAGCGAGACUGCCGGUAAUAAACCGGAGGAAGGUGGGGAUGACGUCAAAUCAUCAUGCCCCUUAUGACCUGGGCUACACACGUGCUACAAUGGUUGGUACAACGAGUUGCGAGUCGGUGACGGCGAGCUAAUCUCUUAAAGCCAAUCUCAGUUCGGAUUGUAGGCUGCAACUCGCCUACAUGAAGUCGGAAUCGCUAGUAAUCGCGGAUCAGCACGCCGCGGUCGAAUACGUUCCCGGGCCUU